GCACCCUCUUGCCUGUAUUCACCCAGCUGGGGAUCUGCCCAGCUGUGAUUUCUGAGCUGGGGAAACUUCAAGAGUGUUAAAACAAGGUUGGUCUAAGAUGGUGCAAUCACAAGAACACGGGCUGUGGUGCCAACCUGAGGCCACAGCACUGUGGUAUUCCCCUUGCCUGGCUCAUUCUCCUGCAGAGGAGGUGGCCACAUUCCAGGUCACCAGGCUUGUAGGACAACAGUGUUCAUCUGCACUUUGCCGCAGCCGCUGCCCCUGUUCGAAGCUGCCUGGCCUACAUCUAGCAUCUUCCCAGCCCUCAGCACAGGGUGACACUCUGACCUUCCCAAGUCUUAUUUCCUGGAACCAAAGAGUCUACAAUUCACAGGUGAGGAGUGGGUUACAACAGCUAGCACACAAGGAUGUUGUGAAAAGUCUUCAGGGCAAAGGAUUCUCUUAUAAGAACUUCAAACUUUCCCUUUCAAGAAGUCCCCCCUUAGGUCAGACCUCUAGCCUGCAUGCUGCAGCCAAAUCAGACCUCUAGGCCUCUCUUGUGCUCAGUGCAGAGGAGAAGGAUGGUCUGGUUUCCCAGGCUAUGAGCUAUCCCAGUGACCAGAGCACAAAAGAUGGGGAGAUGCGAGGGCAGUCCCUGGGCAUGCCAGCCUUCCAGCCCAAUACCUGAGGUCCUCCUGGUUCUUUGGACCCAGACCUUAGAACAAGAGUAGCCACUCCAAACCCAAAUGGAGUGAUCAUAAAUGCUUUGCAAGCAAAUCCUCACUGUAUCACUACCCCAACCCCACCUCAAGGCAGCCUCUGACUGCAAGUGCCACACAGCUGUUCCUCUAACAUGGCUUUUAUCUGUCACUUAUGGCUGAAGGAGUUAUGUUCCCCCACUGCCAAUUCAUGGCCCAUGAAGGUGCCACUGCAGAGGGUGUCUUUUUUGCUCUAUGUCAACUUCUAUCCACCCUUCAAGGCUCAGAUCAGAUGACACUUUCACUAAGAAGGCUUCUCUGACCCCUUCAGUCUACAUGGCUCUCUGAAGUCCUCUGGCUCUCCGAGUGAACAUGAAGUAGGUAGAAGGUUGGUUAGGGCCCAUCCUAGCCUCUCACUGUGUUCUCCUGUGAUGGCUGAAAUCUGGCCAGGGUGAGGUGACAGAGUGUGUUGAAGUCUCUUCGUGGGCCACAAAACAGAUCUGCUUUGCUGCCCUGUCGAGCUCAGCCACGAUUGCUUCUGGAGGGCUGGGAAAAAUAUUUGGACCUUGCUUUGAACUUGCCACAGGAUGCUCACAGGAUUUGAAGUUUAGACUGGGACAGAAGAGGACAGAGACAGCGACUGGGACAGAUUUGGUGUUGAAUCUGGAGGUCAAGUGCCAAGAGAAAGCUAUCUGGGAAACGCAGAGGUCUCAGUAAAGACUGGCAGCUACGCGUUGCACCUGCCUGCCUGGUUCUCUUUGCAUCUCUCUUUGCUCUUGCUUUUGUCUCUUGGUCUCUGGGCUGCUGUUUCUCUGUUUUCUGCUUAAGGCAGGCUCCCAAAAGCACCUUGAUGAAUAAUUGUCCUAUAGUAACCAGGUGAGUAUGUAGACACGGCUUUGCACAAAGAGUGUUCUGCCACCCUGUCCCCCCACACCCCUAUUAUAUAGAUGUAUCAGCUCAUGGUCAGGGCAAAAGACUGAUCUGCUGACUCUAGGUAUCCGUUUUCCAGGUCAUCACUGGCAAAUUCCUGCCAGUGUCAGCCACAAACUGAUCUUGAAAUGCCACCCUGCCACCAUGCCUUCACAUUCUGGAUUAUGUUUGUUACAGAGGUUAUUUUCUGUCUGGGAUUAUCUAUCUCACAAAUAAAAAAGAGAGAAUAACUCCCUCCUAGAAGAGGGAAACUGGGAGUGGGGGUGGGGUCCAAGACAGGAAAUGGCUGUGUCCCUCUUCAAGGGUGGCAGGGCUCCCUGCCAGGGGUGUCCUCUGACUUCUAGGUGGCCAACGGAAAGAAGCAACCACGUUAGGUCACCGUGCGGGGUGGUGGGACAGAGGGCAGGGCCUCAGCGUGGGUAAACCCAAGGUCGAAGUUCAGGAGAGGUGAGUUCGGGUCCAGACAGCCACAGUCUAUGGAGGACUCCCAUCCGAUCCAGGCACACCUCGCAUUUGCUUCCUGGCUGGACACACCUUGCCUGCCUCUCUCUCUCUCUCUCUCUCUCUCUCUCUCUCUCUCU
Microcebus murinus (gray mouse lemur) is the source of this 2188-nucleotide non-coding RNA. Lineage: Eukaryota; Metazoa; Chordata; Mammalia; Primates; Cheirogaleidae. The record is from RefSeq and is a predicted model, not a curated record.